AACGUUGCGCCGGAAUGAACGGAUUAUAUUGAUGUUAUAAAUAAUAAGAUUAAAUUUAUGUCUUCUACGUUA
This 72-nucleotide transfer RNA is filed under the name Grimpoteuthis sp. RNAcentral describes it as "tRNA-Ile". The record is from RNAcentral. Lineage: Eukaryota; Metazoa; Mollusca; Cephalopoda; Octopoda; Grimpoteuthidae.